RNAcentral lists this non-coding RNA (29 nucleotides) under Cricetulus griseus (Chinese hamster). The record is from RNAcentral. Lineage: Eukaryota; Metazoa; Chordata; Mammalia; Rodentia; Cricetidae.
ACUGUCUAUCGAGGAAGGUGAGCACUGUG